This 261-nucleotide long non-coding RNA is filed under the name Elaeis guineensis (African oil palm). RNAcentral's name for it is "long non-coding RNA (EGUI_LNC067169)". Lineage: Eukaryota; Viridiplantae; Streptophyta; Magnoliopsida; Arecales; Arecaceae. The record is from RNAcentral.
UUUAAGUAUUUGAAUCAUCAAAAAUUUACUCAAUGAAAUUAUUUGGCACAUGGGAAGUUGGAGCGCCAAAGAUUAGUGCCCCAUGGUCUCAUGUGACAUCCCUUGGUCCCCUAUUUAUAGGGGAUGCUCCAGAUGGUUUAUUAUGGUGAUUUUUAGUUGAGACCAAGAAGAGGGAUGUGGUAAAUACAAAAAAAACUCUAAAAAAAUUUUAAGAAAAAAAAGAAGAAAUUUUUAGUGGCAAAAGUUGCUACUAGGGUGGUG